This 825-nucleotide long non-coding RNA is filed under the name Ananas comosus (pineapple). RNAcentral describes it as "long non-coding RNA (ACOM_LNC042193)". The record is from RNAcentral. Lineage: Eukaryota; Viridiplantae; Streptophyta; Magnoliopsida; Poales; Bromeliaceae.
GAGAGAGAGAGAGAGAGAGAGAGAGAGAACUAGGCUACUAUGCUAUUAAUAGCACGAAGUCAUUGGUGCUACCAAGUUUUUGGCCGUUGGAUUAAGAGAUGUGCGGUUAGGAUGAUGUGGGCCCCCUAGGGUUGAGUGGGUGGUUGGUUGAAUAGUAUGAUCUAACGGGUGAAAAUAAUCAAAAUGGUAGAUCUAACGGCGGAAAACUUGGUAGCACUAAGUGCUUCAUGCUAUUAAUAGCAUAGUAGCCGGACUAUAUAUAUAUAUAUAUAUAUAGUUGAGCUGGAAUGCUAUCGAUAGCAAACGGACUCCGUUGCCACCCAUUUGUCUUUGAUGAUGGAGUCUUCAAAUCGAUGAUCGACACCAUUGAAUAUGAUCUAUACCACAUGAACUAUCUAGAAACCAAAUUUCAAAUCUUUUCGACAUCAUUAACCUAAUGAUCAAAGGGCUAAAGGAAGGAAAAUCAACCGAGACCCCGUUAGUAGCGGCGAGCGAGAGCGGAACUUUGGUUUGAAUCAAAAGAAAUCCGAAGCGGUUUCAUUCGAUUUGUUGUGGAUUGGAUGAUGUUGUUGUGGAUUGGAUGAUGGAAAAACCAGUUCGCUAAGUUUGAAAAGUCCAAAGAGCGCAGACUAGGUCAUCUCGCCUGCCCCAGUUGGAUAUUUCAAAAAUUUAUAAUUUUAAUGGUAGAUAUGAGGAGUUUUCUCGUUUAACGUUGUAAAGCUAUCCAAAUCAAUUGAAUUUUGGUUAGAAAAUUCUUUAUACUAUUUAGAACAAGAUCUAUACUCUUGAUCUUGAUUAACACUUGAUGAACAAGAGAACAAUAUC